GGCGGUGUAGCUCAGUUGGUAGAGCAGCGGACUCAUAAGCCGCGGGUCACCCGUUCGAUCCGGGUCACCGCCACCA
Molecule: transfer RNA, 76 nt
Filed under: Nitrospira moscoviensis
Lineage: Bacteria; Pseudomonadati; Nitrospirota; Nitrospiria; Nitrospirales; Nitrospiraceae
Also listed under: 8 other names
Description: tRNA-Met
Rfam family: tRNA
About the family: Transfer RNA (tRNA) molecules are approximately 80 nucleotides in length. Their secondary structure includes four short double-helical elements and three loops (D, anti-codon, and T loops). Further hydrogen bonds mediate the characteristic L-shaped molecular structure. tRNAs have two regions of fundamental functional importance: the anti-codon, which is responsible for specific mRNA codon recognition, and the 3' end, to which the tRNAs corresponding amino acid is attached (by aminoacyl-tRNA synthetases). tRNAs cope with the degeneracy of the genetic code in two manners: having more than one tRNA (with a specific anti-codon) for a particular amino acid; and 'wobble' base-pairing, i.e. permitting non-standard base-pairing at the 3rd anti-codon position.
Source: RNAcentral